Molecule: long non-coding RNA, 1402 nt
Filed under: Papio anubis (olive baboon)
Lineage: Eukaryota; Metazoa; Chordata; Mammalia; Primates; Cercopithecidae
Description: lncRNA (ENSPANG00000039367.1)
Source: RNAcentral
AUGUAUCACGGGAUUAGGGACGUGGACAUCUUUGGGGCCAUUAAACAUCUUUGGGGCCAUUAUUCCGUCUCCCACGUGGGAUUAGGACGUGGACAUCUUUGGGGCCAUUAUUCUGUCUCCACAUGUGGACAGGGAUCGACAUCUUUUGGGGUUGUUCACCACCCACCACGUGAUUGUUUGUUUGUUUUUCUUGGGGACAGAGUUCUUCUGCCACCCAGGCUGGAGUGGUGCGAUCUCGGGCUCACUGCAACCUCUGCCUCCCCGGGUUCAAGCAAUUCUCCUGCCUCAGCCUCCCGAGUAGCUGGGAUAACAGGCACCUGCCACCACGCCCGGCUAAUUCUGUAUUUUUAGUAGAGAUGGGAUUUCUCCAUGUUGGUCAGGCUGGUCUCAAACUCCUGACCUCAGGUGAUCCGCCCGCCUCGGCCUCCUAAAGCGCUGGGAUGACAGGCGUGAGCCACCACGCCCGGCCCCACCCCCCACUGAAGUUCCCCCGAUUUCCUUGUUGGCCGUGAUGCUUUCCAACUCGAAUUCCUGAGAUCUGAACGUCCAGCCAUGUGACUAGGAGGGAUCAACCGGCAGGCGAGGCACCUGACGGUGUAAACCCGUCCCCCACCGCCCUGUUGCAGGAGGGUUGUUUGUGGCCGGCACCAACCUCACGGAGAACCUGCAGUACGUCCUGGCGCACCCGUCCGAGUCCCUGGAGAAGAUGACGCUGCCCAACCUUCCCCGGCUGAGCGCGUGGGUCCGAGAGCAGCGCCCGGGGCCGGGCUCACGGUGCACCAACGUCAUCGCGGGCGACUUCAUCGGAGCGGACAGCUUCGUCGGGGACGUCAUCGCUCUCAACCAGAAGCUGCUUUGGUGCUGACGUGGGGGUUCAGGACGCGGGGGCUGAAGUUUCACCCCCUACUUCCAAGUACCGUGACUUUGUUGGGGCCAAAUAUUGGGGAUCAUAGGACCGAUCAUAUGUUUUCUUUUUCUUUUUUUUUUUUUUUAAAUAGAGAUGGGGUGGUCGGGCGCGGUGGCUCACGCCUGAUCCCAGCACUUUGGGAGGCCGAGGCGGGCGGAUCACAGGUUCAAAAGUUCAAGACCAGCCUGACCAACAUGGUGAAACCCCAUCUCUACUAAAAAGACAAAAAUUAGCCGGGCAAGUUGGCAGGUGCCUGUACUCCCAGCUACUCGGGAGGCUGAGGCAGGAGAAUUGCUGGAACCCGGGAGGCGGAGAUUGCACUGAGCCGACAUCCUGCCAUUGCACCCCAGCCUGGGUCGCAGAGCGAGACUUAUCUCAAAAAAAAAAAAAAAAAUAGAGAUGGGCUCUCGCUCUGUUGGCCCGGUCGCUCUGGAACUCCUGGCCUCAAGUGAUCCUCCCCUCAGCCUCCCAAAGUGCUGGGAGGACAGGCAGGAA